Molecule: non-coding RNA, 166 nt
Organism: Pipistrellus kuhlii (Kuhl's pipistrelle)
Lineage: Eukaryota; Metazoa; Chordata; Mammalia; Chiroptera; Vespertilionidae
Product: small Cajal body-specific RNA 1
Exons: 1
Source: RefSeq, a predicted model, not a curated record
CAGCACUUGAUACUAGCCGAGCUAUCUAUGUCCUAGCCUUGUGACAGAGGCUGGUGAUGUGUUGUGAUAGCUGGGUUUAAGAAGUGCAAUAUUAAAACAAAAGCCGUGAGUCUUUUUAGCCCAGUGUGUAAAGACGCACUCUGAGUUAUAACUCAGUGGCACAACU